Molecule: small RNA, 259 nt
Filed under: Arabidopsis thaliana (thale cress)
Lineage: Eukaryota; Viridiplantae; Streptophyta; Magnoliopsida; Brassicales; Brassicaceae
Description: ATSL194870
Source: RNAcentral
AUAGAAGGAACAUAAAAGUGAGACUGAAAACUAGACAGUAACCUUCAAAAAUAACCUUCGUGUAUCCUUUACUCCAACAGUGUUGCAUUACCAUGAUCGAAGCGCUUGUAGUUAGCUUUCGAGAGACCAAGUGUCGUUAGCUCAAUUGGUAAAAAUCCUACGCGAAGUUUAGAGGUCGCCGGUUCGAGUGACGUUUGGGACGAAACUAAUAUUACAUGCUAUGGUUUCGGGCCUAGGGAAAUUAUGGGUUUUGGCUCAA